This 2052-nucleotide ribosomal RNA is filed under the name Triticum aestivum (bread wheat). RNAcentral's name for it is "partial small subunit ribosomal RNA". The record is from RNAcentral. Lineage: Eukaryota; Viridiplantae; Streptophyta; Magnoliopsida; Poales; Poaceae.
AUGGGCGGGCCAAAUAUGAGCUCGCCUUCAGCGAGACAUAUCAGCGCCCAUACUUCCAAGCCGAGCCGUUGUUCUCUUCCUUUUUCCCUUCUCGGUUUCUCCUCUCCCAUUCAGCCUGCCCACGCUCUCCUCCCUCGCCGCCCCCUUUCCCCCCUCUACCGCGCUCUGCCGCGAACCCUAGCGAGGAUCCCAAACACCAUGGACGCCUGGAGCGGGGUCUCGGCGGACGCCGCCGCCGCGGGGGCGAACGGCUUGGGUGGCGGGUGGAGGGCAGACGUGGAGGCCGCUGCGGCGACGAGCGGCCUGGGUGGCUGGGGUGAGGCCUCCGCCGAGCUGCUGGAUGUCGAGGCAUAUGUCGCGCCGUACUCUGGCCGGACCCGCUUGGCGCGCCUCAUGGCCAUCUCGUACAAGUGCGGGGUGGAGGCGAUCCAGUUCGAGGCGCUGCGGGUGGCGCACGACGAGGCCAAGGCUGGCGAGGACACGAUGUUCUACCUCUACGUCGUCCGCGAGAUCGACGGCCGCCUCGGCCAGGGCUACCUCCUCGACCAGGCCUGGGUCGACUCCGUCAACCGACGCGCCGAGCAGCGCAAGGAGACGCUCCUGAGCCAACUCCAAAUCUACCAGAGCAACCAGAUCAAAGAGAGCAUCAGAAUGGGUUAUAACCAGAUUGGCGACUUCUAUUUUGCUCAUGGCCACCUUUCAGAAGCCUUUAAAAGCUAUAUUGCGACAGAAGAACACUGCAGUACUUCUGAGCACGCAAUCCAGAUGUGUAUGAAUGCUAUACAUGUCAACCUUGAAUUGUGUGAUUUUGCCCGUGUGCUCAAUUAUGCAAGCAAGGCAAAGGGGUCUCAAGAUCCACUCAGUCCGAUCACUACUGCGAAGCUGCAAGCGGUGGAGGGAUUGGGCUAUCUUGGCCAACAGCAAUAUAAACUUGCUGCCCUACAGUUUAUCGAGACAGGACCUGAACUAGGAAGCAACUAUUCUGAAGUCAUAGCCCCGCAAGACGUCGCUACGUAUGGAGCCCUCUGUGCUCUUGCAUUGUUUAAUUACACUGAAAUCAAGACAAAAGUUGUGGAGAAUGUUCAAUUUGGAUCUUUUCUGGACCUUGUUCCUGAAGUUAAAGAUUUGGUUAACGCCUUCUAUUACAGUCAGCGUAACACAUGCAUGGAGGUUCUUGAGAGACUUAAGCAAAGACUAAUGAUGGACCUCCAUCUUGGUCAUCAUAUGGACUUUCUUUGCUUGCUCAUUUCCCAGAAAUUGGAAUUUAUGCCCUCCACCGUUUGUGACUUCUCCACACUCUAUGACUUGCUCAUGAAGACUCCGAGCCCCAUCAAUGAGGAACAACCUCGUGUUAAUGCUAACGGGCCUCAGCUGAAUUCGGCUUCUAAUCUAAUACUGCCUGAAAAUUUUAAUGAUGAGACACUUCUCGCUGAAUCAUCCCAUUACAAGUUUCUCAAGUCAAAAGAUCUAUUUGACUCACUUGGGAGAAGAAAACAUAACUGGGUUUCUACUUGUCAGGCACGAGCUUUGCUCCAGAAUGCUAUAUUGUUUGUGGUUGAUGAUUUCGACAGUGAGGCAAGGGAUGCAAGAAGAACUGAUGGUCAAGUACUUAUGGUAUCAGAUGCAAGAUUCAGUAUGUUGAAAGUUGUAUUUGGCAGUUACACCACCACAACCAAGCCAUUAAAAGAGAAGCUCAAGAGCAAAGAAGAUGCUGAGAUUGUUCGGUUUGAAAUGAGAGGAGACAUUUGGGCGAGGAGAAGGAUGUGCUUGCGGGAUAACCCUGACUUCCACUUGCUACAGUGGAGAAAGACUUCAGGACUCAAGCGAGCGCAAGUGAGGCAACAAGAGGAGGCGUCAUCGCAGGACAGCAAUAGCAACAGACUCCUUGAACAAGUGCAACUGACCGUGAAGAACCUUGUGGAGGAGCUGAAAAUCAACACUAGAGCAGUGACGGAGUCAAGUCAGGCAAUUGCAAAGUCAUGCCAAGAUGUGGUGGAGGCCUGUAAGUUGACCGUGGCCAGCACCAGCACGGGUGCCGGUGUAGUGAACUGA